CUCCUAUAUUCAAUGUAGUCUCAAUCACACCUCAAAUAGAGGCCAUAUACAAAUUAUAACUUUGAUGCUCUUAUAGACCUUUUUAAAGAAGCAUGAAGAAUAUAACUCCAUCUUCACGAAGGUCCUAGUCUCUCAGAAAGUCCAAAACAUUUUUAAUCCUAAUGAAAGUUUUAACUAAAUAUACAAAUCUAAUUAUGUUUGUUGCUACCAUGUAUCUAUAGAAAUUGUAGAUAUAUAACCAAUAUUUUGGCCCCAAAGUAGCCAAAGCCUUAUAUCUUCAAUUCAAAAUCAUCAUCUUUUUGACAAGGCAACUAGUACAAUUCUACAAUCAUCAACUCUACAUGAAGCAAAAAUCAACCCAUAUCCACAAGGCUAAUUUAUUUAGAUUUAAAAGUACGAAUUUUUUAU
This 408-nucleotide long non-coding RNA is filed under the name Physcomitrium patens. RNAcentral's name for it is "long non-coding RNA (PPAT_LNC002464)". The record is from RNAcentral. Lineage: Eukaryota; Viridiplantae; Streptophyta; Bryopsida; Funariales; Funariaceae.